This 72-nucleotide transfer RNA is filed under the name Camelus bactrianus (Bactrian camel). It matches the Rfam family "tRNA". Rfam says of the family: Transfer RNA (tRNA) molecules are approximately 80 nucleotides in length. Their secondary structure includes four short double-helical elements and three loops (D, anti-codon, and T loops). Further hydrogen bonds mediate the characteristic L-shaped molecular structure. tRNAs have two regions of fundamental functional importance: the anti-codon, which is responsible for specific mRNA codon recognition, and the 3' end, to which the tRNAs corresponding amino acid is attached (by aminoacyl-tRNA synthetases). tRNAs cope with the degeneracy of the genetic code in two manners: having more than one tRNA (with a specific anti-codon) for a particular amino acid; and 'wobble' base-pairing, i.e. permitting non-standard base-pairing at the 3rd anti-codon position. Lineage: Eukaryota; Metazoa; Chordata; Mammalia; Artiodactyla; Camelidae. RNAcentral also lists the same sequence under 2 other names. The record is from Rfam by way of RNAcentral.
GAGGGUAUAUCUCAGUGGUAGAGUGUGUGCUUAGCACGCACAAGGUUCUGAGUUCAAUCCCUAGUACCUCCU